RNAcentral lists this ribosomal RNA (499 nucleotides) under uncultured eukaryote. Its description in RNAcentral is "bacterial SSU rRNA". It matches the Rfam family "Eukaryotic small subunit ribosomal RNA", at positions 7 to 529 of the family's 1831-position model. The record is from RNAcentral.
GUUGAUCCUGCCAGUAGUCAUAUGCUUGUUUCAAAGAUUAAGCCAUGCAAGUCUAAGUAUUAACUAAUCAUACGUGAAACUGMGAAUAGCUCAUUAUAACAGUUAUUAUCUAAACGAUGAUCAAUACUAAAUGGAUAUCCAUGGUAAUUCUGGAGCUAAUACAUAWNHAACCCCUUAUGGGGUGCGUUCAUUAGUUCGUGAAGUCAACCUGGGACAACCCAGUAUUGGAUGAUCAGAGUGAAUCGGCGGAUCUCGUUUCGAGACAGUUCAGWUCGAGUUUCUGACCUAUCAGCUUUUGUCGGUAGAGUAUUGGCCUACCGAGGCAGUAACGGGUAACAGGGGAAUUAGGGUUCGAUUCCGGAGAGGGAGCCUGAGAAACGGCUACMACAUCUAAGGGUGGCAGCAGGCGCGCAAAUUACUACAAUCCAGAUACGGGGAGGUAGUGACAAGAAAUAGCGGCGCGGGGCAUAUGCUCCACGACUGCAAUGAGUAGAGUGCA